This 495-nucleotide ribosomal RNA is filed under the name uncultured bacterium. RNAcentral's name for it is "partial 16S ribosomal RNA". It matches the Rfam family "Bacterial small subunit ribosomal RNA", at positions 28 to 507 of the family's 1533-position model. The record is from RNAcentral.
GACGAACGCUGGCGGCGUGCCUAAUACAUGCAAGUAGAACGCUGAAGGAGGAGCUUGCUUCGCUGGAUGAGUUGCGAACGGGUGAGUAACGCGUAGGUAACCUGCCUGGUAGCGGGGGAUAACUAUUGGAAACGAUAGCUAAUACCGCAUAAUAGUAGAUGUUGCAUGACAUUUGCUUAAAAGGUGCAAUUGCAUCACUACCAGAUGGACCUGCGUUGUAUUAGCUAGUUGGUGGGGUAACGGCUCACCAAGGCGACGAUACAUAGCCGACCUGAGAGGGGGAUCGGCCACACUGGUACUGAGACCCGGCCCAGACUCCUACGGGAGGCAGCCGUAGGGGAACUUCGGCAAUGGGCGGAAGUCUGACCGAGCAACGCCGCGUGAGUGGAGAAGGUUUUCGGGUCGUAAAGCUCUGUUGUAAGGGAAGAACGAGUGUGAGAGUGGAACGUUCACACUGUGACGGUAUCUUACCAGAAAGGGACGGCUAACUACGUG